Long non-coding RNA from Arachis stenosperma, 1856 nucleotides. RefSeq lists it as uncharacterized. Lineage: Eukaryota; Viridiplantae; Streptophyta; Magnoliopsida; Fabales; Fabaceae. The record is from RefSeq and is a predicted model, not a curated record. The transcript has 7 exons.
ACCAUCAGGAGAGAAAGGAACUCACCCUUUUAAUGUUCAAAACCCAUAAACCCUGCCGCUUACCUAAUCCUAAUUUCUUUCACUACUAAAGCCUCCCACGAGACGCACCUCCAUCCGUUGCUAUUGGACUAAGUCUCUUCCUCAAAGCAGUCUUCAGAUUUCAUCAAGUUGGAGUAGCAGUCGACGUUGCAUAGCCAAAAUCCAUCAGCGUCGUCCUGCCGUAUCCACCCUUCAAGCAGUUGCGUCGUGAGAAGCAUCAGCGUCAAUAACCUUCCUCCCGCUGCCUUAUUAAGUGACACUGUUGGUGGUACCAAGUUUAUUAAGAUGCCCAAGAUAGGUCGUUACACGAAGAAAUCAAAGUUAGACGCAGUAUGUUAGCAAACCCAAACAGGAUCAGCUGCAGCUUCAUCCGUGCCCCAAGUGGAUGGCCUAAUUCCCCCCUCUAGUGGUACUGGUGCUACCCCAACCUCAUUUUUAUGCCCCUCUUGACCACAUGGUACCGAACCAUUACCUGCUCCACAGACUUGCACGAAUGGUGCUCAACACUCGGAAUCGCCUGAUGAAGACUUAGACCCAAAGGCAGAUGAGGUAGAUUAUUUUGAAUAAUACGUUGACAACCUGUUUGCUGCAUCGGAGGCUCUGAAGCACAAGGGACGCAAGACCACUGAAUUUUAGGAUGUUAAAAUAAUUGAGUCCGAUGGGACAAUCAAGAAAAUUCAUUUAAGUGUGAGAGAGGCUAUGAAGCCACCUAACGAUAGAAAUAUCGUACUCAGGUUCAACGAUAGACUGCAACCAGCUGGAAAUGAAGCUGGUAUACUAAGCGGCGUUGUCGGAAUGCUAGGAUUUGACUACACCAAAUUCCCAAUCUGCGAGAAGGACUGGAGAAAGGUUCGCUCUAGGGACAAGAUCUAUACUGAAUGCGUAAAGAAAUUGUUCCAUUUUGAAAAAGAUAGUGGAGGAAUGAUCAAGCGUACAAUAUUAAAAAUGAUAGGAAGGGCUUGGAAGGACACAAGGAACUAUUUGUAUCAUCACUUUUACAAAUCAAAUUUGACUCUUGAACAAAAUAUUAAAGGCCGUCCACCGGAAAUUACUGCGGAUCAUUAGAAAUGGUUCCUUGAUUAUCCCAACAGUGAAGAAAAUAAGGAGAAGUGUAGGAAAAUGCUGAGAAUCGAUCGAAGCAGUUAUACACUCAUACUGGCAAAUCGAAAAGCUUGGCAAGGCUCAGAGAAGAAAAGUCGGAACGACAAGGGCGUCCAGUUAGUAAGGGGGAGUUGUUUGUCUUAAUCCACAAACGAUCUAAUGGAUCUUAUUUCCAUGAUGCAGCUUGGGCUAUUGAUAAAGAAUUGCGGAGAUUGAGCAACAUGAUGAAUCAUCUAGACUAUUGUUUCAGAAUGAUUCACUUGCUCAAGCUCUUGGAAAGGAGCCCCCAGGUAGAGUGCGUGGCAUGAAAAUCAGACCGACUACUAGUCAAGUGUUCGGUACGAAUUCACCUCAGUCAAGCACUGAAACUCAAAGGGAGGAGACCCAAAGAGUGUUGCUCAAACUACAAGCAGAGCUGGCAGCUGAGAAAUUAAAAAGGAAGGCAACGGAGGACAAAGUAGCAGCCGAGAAGACAAAAAUGCAGGCAAUAGAGAGUGCUCUGAUGUGUCUAAUUCAAGGGCAAGGUAGGGAGCUGCCACCAGACGUGGCUGCAUGGAUGCAUUCAUUGGAGGGAUAGAGUAGAGAGUAGAACUAAGGAUUUGAAAUUUAUUCUUUAAGUUAAGUAUACACUUUUUUAUUGUUGAUUAUGCAACUCUUAAUAAGGAAUACACUUUAUUGAUAUUUGGAAUAAUGAAUAUUUUUAUUAGUUUUGCCAA